RNAcentral lists this long non-coding RNA (2188 nucleotides) under Malus domestica (apple). Its description in RNAcentral is "long non-coding RNA (MDOM_LNC014089)". The record is from RNAcentral. Lineage: Eukaryota; Viridiplantae; Streptophyta; Magnoliopsida; Rosales; Rosaceae.
GGGAAGGGUGGUUUUCUUUAUCAGAAGGUUCGUCUUUUUUAAUCGCUCUAAACAGAAAGGAAGUAACCUACAAUAAUAGUUGCAGACCAAACUUUGAGAUGUUGACUCAUCAUGUAUGAUGAGUAAGGCUACAUUAAUAACGCGAUGGUCAAACUUUACGUGUAGUUACGCUUGACUAUCCUUCAUCUCUUACUAGCUACUCUCUUUUUUUCCUUCAUUUUUUUCUCUUUAUAUAUUGGUUUGCUAAGUUUCUUCAAUAAUAUCAUAUCGAUCUUUACUUCAAAAAGAAAGUAUUUAUUUUUUAUUUUGUCUGCGCACUAUUGACAGAAAAGAGAGAUCGAAUGAAUGACCUUACUCUUUGAGCAACAAGCUAUUUACAUUUUUUUAUCAAAGAAAGUCGAUUUGAGUCCAUAUAUUUACUAUUGUAUAAAAAGUGGUACGCCUAUCAUAUUUUGGGAACAUAUAUAUGUUUCACCAAUGUAUUAGUUCACCUAUACUGAGAUUAAAAAAUUACUGAACAAAUAUGGUAGAUUACAAGUCAAGCUUAACAGGAAACUGUUAAUCUUAUUCAAUAUUGUUAUUAGAAUCUUGCACACUAUGCGUACUAUAUCUAACGAGUAUUUUACAAAAACGAAACAAAAAACUAACAUUAAGAAGGAAUUUUAUGGCCUACAUUUAUCCACCCAAGUAAACUUUCCUAAAAAAAUAGGAAGAAACAUUCAAAUUGUAAAAAAUUGGAUGAGGAAACCAUGAUUAGCUAGCUAAAAUUAGGAGAAGGGUUUCGUCAGUCACUUUCUUUAUUAUUAAGCGGGGGAAAAUGAGAUGCAUGCAUUUACAACAUGAGCAAACAAAUUGUCACGAGUCUGACAGCUUUCAUCAAUAUGCAAGGCUCCCUCUUUUAUCACUUGUUUUAUUCUGAUCACCUAAAUAUUGUCAUGUUAUAAACACUCGUCACACUUCACUACUGUACUUGCAAAUUAGCCCAACCAAUCAUACAUGCUUAAACAACUGUAAAACGUAAAAACUCACGUAAAUUAUAUUCUUUUUUCUAAAAUGAUCUAAUAAUGGAGACAUUUUCUAGAAGAGUGUCAUAUCGUUGUAUGAUGUUAUCAAUCUACGUGUUGUAAUAUGAAAAAAAUGACAAAUAUGACAUGUUACGGACCUAGAAUACACCUAGAGUAUAAUAAUGUGAAUCAAAUACAAGUGUAAUACAAGUCACGUAAAUUAUAACUAUGUAACUGUGACACAAUUCACAUCAAAAUUACUCCUUAUAAUGACACUACUAAUUUUGCUACAUAACAUACAAAGAAGCACGAUAUUGCCUAUAAAAACCUCAUAAUUUUAUGACCAUAUAUGUGGGUAAAAUUACCUUUUUAACCCUGAGAUUUAAUUUGCUCACAUUGAAAACCACCGCCCCAACUAUUUUCCUAAUAAAACCAUACAUAUCCAUUUCAAGCUACAACGAGUGGAGAAAAUCACCAUCUUUAUGAUCCACCACCCCCACUGAAUUCCCCCAGAUAUGAAGUACCUAAUUACAUUUACUACCAUUUUUUUUUAAAAAUAUCUGCUUGUGCAGCAAGUAAACAUGAUGCUGUCCGUACACGGUCACCGACUCCGGCAAAUCGCAUGCCGGAACAUGUGGCUCCAGCGGUUGAAAAAACCUUUUUUCCGGUGACUCUGUGAGCCUGGACUUGGGGAAAGGCAUGCAAUGGUUGAGGAGAUAAAACCAGGCUUAUAAAAUUGUCCUCGUAUUUGAGGUUGCCUGCCAUGUGACACUUAGUUGUAAGUUACACACAAAAAUAAGGUAAAAUUUUCAGAUGGUGAAAAAUUUACAUUUAAAAACCUCUAAGUACAUAGCAUAAGGCCAUAAACUCGUAACGCCAUAUUCUUAUUUCUACUAGUGCAAUGACGAAAACACCCCCGACUGGUGAGCUCGGUAACUGAACGUUAAUUAGUAAUGAAUAGCCAUUCAAUGGGGAGUAAUAUCACUAAUUAAUCUAAUUUUCAGUCAAAGCAGAACCCCAUGUGUCCUGUCACGUGACCCGAAUCCCGAAUUCCAAGAAUAAGUUUUUUCUCCAGCCGCUGAGUCAUCUCGGCCCCCACCCACACUUGACCCUUGCACCCUUCGGAUCUCCUUCUCUCACCGGUCCCACUUCUCCACGUGUCACGCACCCCUGCCCGAAUUAUG